UCAAUUCUUGUAUUCCACCCA
Molecule: non-coding RNA, 21 nt
Filed under: Caenorhabditis elegans
Lineage: Eukaryota; Metazoa; Nematoda; Chromadorea; Rhabditida; Rhabditidae
Source: RNAcentral